GUGGAUUAGAUACCCUGGUAGUCCACGCAGUAAACGAUGAAUACUAGCUGUUGGCGAUAUAAUGUCAGCGGUACAGCGAAAGUGUUAAGUAUUCCACCUGGGGAGUACGCCGGCAACGGUGAAACUCAAAGGAAUUGACGGGGGCCCGCACAAGCGGAGGAACAUGUGGUUUAAUUCGAUGAUACGCGAGGAACCUUACCCGGGCUUGAAAGUUAGUGAAUGAGAUGGAAACAUUUCAGUCCUUCGGGACACGAAACUAGGUGCUGCACGGCCGUCGACAACU
RNAcentral lists this ribosomal RNA (283 nucleotides) under uncultured bacterium. RNAcentral's name for it is "partial 16S ribosomal RNA". It matches the Rfam family "Bacterial small subunit ribosomal RNA", at positions 773 to 1060 of the family's 1533-position model. The record is from RNAcentral.